CCUACGGGAGGCAGCAGUGAGGAAUAUUGGUCAAUGGCCGCACGGCUGAACCAGCCAAGUCGCGUGAGGGAUGACGGUCCUAUGGAUUGUAAACCUCUUUUGUCAGGGAGCAAAGGGCGCCACGUGUGGCGCUUUGCGAGUACCUGAAGAAAAAGCAUCGGCUAACUCCGUGCCAGCAGCCGCGGUAAUACGGAGGAUGCGAGCGUUAUCCGGAUUUAUUGGGUUUAAAGGGUGCGCAGGCGGAAUGUCAAGUCAGCGGUAAAAUUUCGGGGCUCAACCCCGUCGUGCCGUUGAAACUGGCGUUCUUGAGUGAGCGAGAAGUAUGCGGAAUGCGUGGUGUAGCGGUGAAAUGCAUAGAUAUCACGCAGAACUCCGAUUGCGAAGGCAGCAUACCGGCGCUCAACUGACGCUCAUGCACGAAAGCGUGGGUAUCGAACAGGAUUAGAUACCCCAGUAGUC
Molecule: ribosomal RNA, 459 nt
Filed under: uncultured bacterium
Lineage: Bacteria
Description: partial 16S ribosomal RNA
Rfam family: Bacterial small subunit ribosomal RNA
Source: RNAcentral